UUGUGGGGUGACGGCGUGCCUAUCGAAAAAUGAGUCUGCGAGUCAGUGGCAUGUGGCGAGCAUAACCCGUGUGGGGUAUGCGUAGCGAAGGCGAGUCUUAAAAGGCGUUUGAGUCGCGUGUCCUGGACCCGAAGCGGGAUGAUCUAGCCCUGAGCAGGUUGAAGCGCGGGUAAGACCGCGUGGAGGACCGAACCCACCUGGGUUGAAAACCGGGGGGAUGACCUGGGGCUAGGGGUGAAAGGCCAAUCAAAUUCCGUGAUAGCUGGUUCUCUCCGAAAUGCAUUUAGGUGCAGCGUCGGUUGAUUGCAUCGCGGGGGUAGAGCUACUGGAUGCUUGCGGGCCCGUGUCGGGUACCAAUAGCAGCCAAACUCCGAAUACCGUGGAUGUGUAUUCCGGCAGUGAGUCGGCGGGGGAUAAGCUUCGUCGUCGAAAGGGAAACAGCCCAGACCGUCGUCUAAGGUCCCGAAGCGUGUGCUAAGUGGGAAAGGAUGUGGAGUCGCAUAGACAGCCAGGAGGUUGGCUCAGAAGCAGCCAUCCUUGAAAGAGUGCGUAACAGCUCACUGGUCUAGUGGUUCCGCGCCGACAAUGUAGCGGGGCUCAAGCACACCACCGAAGACGCGGCAGUAUUUUGUACUGGGUAGGAGAGCGUCCCAUGAGGGGCGAAGCGGCCGUGUGAACGCGCCGUGGACUUCAUGGGAGUGAGAAUGCAGACAUGAGUAGCGAGAGACGGGUGAGGAUCCCGUCCGCUGGAUGACCAAGGGUUCCGGGGCCACGUUCGUCGUCCCCGGGUGAGUCGGGUCCUAAGGCGAGGCCGACAGGCGUAGUCGAAUGGAUGAACGGGUCGAUAUUCCCGUACCGGCUUUCAGCCGCCAAAACCGAGGCUUGGAGUACUAACCUCCGGGUCCGGGCUUACUGCUCCUUCGGGGGCGGGAUGCCCUGGCCUGUUGGGACCGAUCCUUGUAGUAGGUCAGCGCAGGAGUGACGCAGAAGGGUAGCCGGCCGCGGAGGUGGUCUUCCGUGGUCAAGCACGCAGGGCGUGGGACAGGCAAAUCCGUCCCGCAUGGGUCCGAGGUGCGAUGAUGGGGGCCUUAUGGCCCGAUAUCCGGUGAUCCCGGCUGCCGAGAAAAGCUUCGGCGUCAGGCUCAAAGCCGCCCGUACCCCAAACCGACACUGGUGGUCAGGUAGAGAAUACCAAAGCGAUCGAGCGAAUCCUGGUCAAGGAACUCGGCAAAUCACUCCCGUGCCUUCGGUAUAAGGGAGACCCCCGGGCGUGAAGAGGCUUGCCCUCGGAGCGUUGGGGGGUGGCACAGACCAGGGGGUAGCGACUGUUUACCAAAAACACAGGUGCAUGCGAAGGCGCAAGCCGCUGUAUAUGCACUGACGCCUGCCCGGUGCCGGAAGGUUAAGAGGAUCCGUCAGCCCCUUUUGGGGUGAAGCGGUGAAUUCAAGCCCCGGUAAACGGCGGUGGUAACUAUAACCAUCCUAAGGUAGCGAAAUUCCUUGUCGGGUAAGUUCCGACCUGCACGAAUGGCGUAACGA
This 1539-nucleotide ribosomal RNA is filed under the name human gut metagenome. Its description in RNAcentral is "bacterial LSU rRNA". It matches the Rfam family "Bacterial large subunit ribosomal RNA", at positions 586 to 2007 of the family's 2925-position model. The record is from RNAcentral.